RNAcentral lists this ribosomal RNA (474 nucleotides) under uncultured Marinomonas sp. Its description in RNAcentral is "bacterial SSU rRNA". It matches the Rfam family "Bacterial small subunit ribosomal RNA", at positions 332 to 798 of the family's 1533-position model. Lineage: Bacteria; Pseudomonadati; Pseudomonadota; Gammaproteobacteria; Oceanospirillales; Oceanospirillaceae. The record is from RNAcentral.
GGGGGGCCUACGGGAGGCAGCAGUGGGGAAUAUUGGACAAUGGGCGGAAGCCUGAUCCAGCCAUGCCGCGUGUGUGAAGAAGGCCUUAGGGUUGUAAAGCACUUUCAGGGGUGAGGAAGGGUGACUGGUUAAUAUCCAGUUAUCUUGACGUUAGCCCCAGAAGAAGCACCGGCUAAUUCUGUGCCAGCAGCCGCGGUAAUACAGAGGGUGCAAGCGUUAAUCGGAAUUACUGGGCGUAAAGCGCGGGUAGGUGGUUUGUUAAGUCGGAUGUGAAAUCCCAGGGCUCAACCUUGGAAUGGCACCCGAUACUGGCUAGUUAGAGUAUGGUAGAGGGGUGUGGAAUUUCCUGUGUAGCGGUGAAAUGGGUAGAUAUAGGAAGGAACAUCAGUGGGGAAGGCGACACCCUGGACUAAUACUGACAUUGAGGUGGGAAAGCGUGGGGAGCAAACAGGAUUAGAUACCCUGGUAGUCCAC